CAGUAGCCGCGGGAAUACGUAGGUGGCAAGCGUUGUCCGGAAUUAUUGGGCGUAAAGGGCUCGCAGGCGGUUUCUUAAGUCUGAUGUGAAAGCCCCCGGCUCAACCGGGGAGGGUCAUUGGAAACUGGGAAACUUGAGUGCAGAGGAGGAGAGUGGAAUUCCACGUGUAGCGGUGAAAUGCGUAGAGAUGUGGAGGAACACCAGUGGCGAAGGCGACUCUCUGGCCUGUAACUGACGCUGAGGAGCGAAAGCGUGGGGAGCGAACAGGAUUAGAUACCCCUGUAGUCCCUGUCUCUUAUAC
This 301-nucleotide ribosomal RNA is filed under the name uncultured bacterium. RNAcentral's name for it is "partial 16S ribosomal RNA". It matches the Rfam family "Bacterial small subunit ribosomal RNA", at positions 509 to 807 of the family's 1533-position model. The record is from RNAcentral.